This 510-nucleotide ribosomal RNA is filed under the name Danielia oregonensis. RNAcentral's name for it is "eukaryotic LSU rRNA". It matches the Rfam family "Eukaryotic large subunit ribosomal RNA", at positions 1 to 646 of the family's 3401-position model. The record is from RNAcentral. Lineage: Eukaryota; Fungi; Ascomycota; Pichiomycetes; Serinales; Metschnikowiaceae.
CNUGCAUAUUAUANGCGGAACAAANGGNNCCGUGNCUAUCAAUAAGCUUUAACAUCCCGUCGCNGAGUUGUAAUUUGAAGGAGGUAGGCUACGCGCGGCAACGGCCCAAGUCCAUUGGAACAUGGCGCCAGGGAGGGUGAGAGCCCCGUCCGGCCACGCGCCGCGUCCGCAGUCUGCCCCCGACGAGUCGAGUUGUUUGGGAAUGCAGCUCAAAGUGGGUGGUAAAUUCCAUCUAAAGCUAAAUAUUGGCGAGAGACCGAUAGCGAACAAGUACAGUGAUGGAAAGAUGAAAAGCACUUUGAAAAGAGAGUGAAACAGUACGUGAAAUUGUUGAAAGGGAAGGGCUUGCAAGCAGACACGGCUUUUGCCGGGCCAGCAUCGGUUUGGGGAGGCGGACAACCGCGGGAGCAUGUGGCGCACCUCGGUGCGUGUUAUAGCUCCCGUCCAUACGCCUUCCCCAGUCCGAGGCCUGCGUUCUAAACUAGGAUGCUGGCGUAAUGGUUGCAAGCC